GACGAACGCUGGCGGCGUGCUUAACACAUGCAAGUCGAACGGAAAGGCCCUGCUUUUGUGGGGUGCUCGAGUGGCGAACGGGUGAGUAACACGUGAGUAACCUGCCCUUGACUUUGGUAUAACUUCAGGAAACUGUGGCUAAUACCGGAGAGGAGCUCCUGAUGGUUGGUGUGGGUUGGAAAGUUUAGGUGGUUGGGGUGGGAGGGUGGGCUUAUCAGUUGUUUGGUGGGGUAGUGGCUUACCAAGGCUUUGACGGGUAGCGGGCCUGAGGGGGUGACCGGCAACAUUGGGACUGAGAUACGGCCAAGAGUCGUACCUAAUACACAAGUUUUAAAUAUUCACCAAUUACCGAAAGCCUGAUCCGCCAAGCCCGGGGGCGGGAGACCGGCCUUCGGGUGGUAAACCCCUUUCCCAUCUAACAAGCCUUUUGUAACUAUCAUUCAUAAAUAAUCACCGGCUAACUACCUG
RNAcentral lists this ribosomal RNA (468 nucleotides) under uncultured bacterium. Its description in RNAcentral is "partial 16S ribosomal RNA". It matches the Rfam family "Bacterial small subunit ribosomal RNA", at positions 28 to 507 of the family's 1533-position model. The record is from RNAcentral.